AACAUACAUACUCUUAAACUGUGAUGAGGUCAAACCCUACAUAAACUUGUAUGAGCAACAAUUACAUCAUCAAAAUUCAUCAAUGACUGCAAGUGAGGUUGCUGAAAAGUUAGAGACCGAAUUUGCAUUAUGGUUUCAAAUAUAUAUAUAAGGUAUCAUGGCAGAUCUUCCAGCACCACUCCGUGGAUCCACCGU
Long non-coding RNA from Zingiber officinale, 195 nucleotides. RefSeq lists it as uncharacterized. Lineage: Eukaryota; Viridiplantae; Streptophyta; Magnoliopsida; Zingiberales; Zingiberaceae. The record is from RefSeq and is a predicted model, not a curated record. The transcript has 3 exons.